RNAcentral lists this unclassified non-coding RNA (332 nucleotides) under soil metagenome. RNAcentral describes it as "partial contains 5.8S ribosomal RNA, internal transcribed spacer 2, and large subunit ribosomal RNA". The stretch from base 1 to 120 matches the Rfam family "5.8S ribosomal RNA", at positions 35 to 154 of the family's 154-position model. The record is from RNAcentral.
GAUGAAGAACGCAGCAAAAUGCGAUAAGUAAUGUGAAUUGCAGAAUUCAGUGAAUCAUCGAAUCUUUGAACGCACAUUGCGCCCGCCAGUAUUCUGGCGGGCAUGCCUGUUCGGGCGUCAUUUCAACCCUCAAGCACAGCUUGGUGUUGGGACUCGCGUUAAUUCGCGUUCCUCAAAUUGAUUGGCGGUCACGUCGAGCUUCCAUAGCGUAGUAGUAAAACCCUCGUUACUGGUAAUCGUCGCGGCCACGCCGUUAAACCCCAACUUCUGAAUGUUGACCUCGGAUCAGGUAGGAAUACCCGCUGAACUUAAGCAUAUCAAUAAGCGGAGGA